UGGGGAAUAUUGCACAAUGGGCGAAAGCCUGAUGCAGCAACGCCGCGUGAGCGAUGAAGGCCUUCGGGUCGUAAAGCUCUGUCCUCAAGGAGGAUAAUGACGGUACUUGAGGAGGAAGCCCCGGCUAACUACGUGCCAGCAGCCGCGGUAAUACGUAGGGGGCUAGCGUUAUCCGGAAUUACUGGGCGUAAAGGGUGCGUAGGUGGUUUCUUAAGUCAGAGGUGAAAGGCUACGGCUCAACCGUAGUAAGCCUUUGAAACUGGGAAACUUGAGUGCAGGAGAGGAGAGUGGAAUUCCUAGUGUAGCGGUGAAAUGCGUAGAUAUUCGGAGGAACACCAGUGGCGAAGGCGGCCUACUGGGCUCUAACUGACGCUGAGGCUCGAAAGUGUGGGGAGCAAACA
This 401-nucleotide ribosomal RNA is filed under the name uncultured prokaryote. RNAcentral describes it as "bacterial SSU rRNA". It matches the Rfam family "Bacterial small subunit ribosomal RNA", at positions 355 to 774 of the family's 1533-position model. The record is from RNAcentral.